Paramuricea clavata is the source of this 104-nucleotide non-coding RNA. The record is from the annotation of a GenBank genome assembly. Lineage: Eukaryota; Metazoa; Cnidaria; Anthozoa; Malacalcyonacea; Plexauridae.
ACUAUUCUCCCAACAUUCCCAGCGUGCAUUAUUUAAGAAAUAGAAAAUGAGUCGCGUGCGUUUAUAGUGUGAUAAUGCACGCGGGGAAUGUUGGGAGAAUACGA